UAGAGUUUGAUCCUGGCUCAGGACGAACGCUGGCGGCGUGCUUAACACAUGCAAGUCGAACGGUGACCUCGGAGCUUGCUCCGGGCGAUCAGUGGCGAACGGGUGAGUAACACGUGAGUAACCUGCCCCUGGCUCUGGGAUAACCCCGGGAAACCGAGGCUAAUACCGGAUACGACACAGACAGGCAUCUGUACUGUGUGGAAAGUUUUUCGGCUAGGGAUGGACUCGCGGCCUAUCAGCUUGUUGGUGAGGUAACGGCCCACCAAGGCGACGACGGGUAGCCGGCCUGAGAGGGCGACCGGCCACACUGGGACUGAGACACGGCCCAGACUCCUACGGGAGGCAGCAGUGGGGAAUAUUGCGCAAUGGGCGAAAGCCUGACGCAGCGACGCCGCGUGAGGGAUGAAGGCCUUCGGGUUGUAAACCUCUUUCAGCAGGGAAGAAGCGAAAGUGACGGUACCUGCAGAAGAAGCACCGGCUAACUACGUGCCAGCAGCCGCGGUAA
This 505-nucleotide ribosomal RNA is filed under the name uncultured bacterium. Its description in RNAcentral is "bacterial SSU rRNA". It matches the Rfam family "Bacterial small subunit ribosomal RNA", at positions 1 to 523 of the family's 1533-position model. The record is from RNAcentral.